This 1120-nucleotide long non-coding RNA is filed under the name Oryza brachyantha (malo sina). RNAcentral describes it as "long non-coding RNA (OBRA_LNC000799)". Lineage: Eukaryota; Viridiplantae; Streptophyta; Magnoliopsida; Poales; Poaceae. The record is from RNAcentral.
AAAUUUUAAGUAUGCAUUGUAAUUUUGCAUAUUUGGAUAUAUAUUUUGAAUAAAACAAAUGGUUAAACGUAAUCUAAAAGUUAACGAUGUCAUAUAUAAAUAAAAAAUAUGGAGGGAGUAGUAAAUUAAGUUUGGUCUGAUCGGAGUAGAAGAGAGACCUGCAUGCUAGCUACCAUGUAAACACAUUUCUGGAGUUGCAAGAAGGUACAGAAUGUUUUGACUGUUUGAGAAAAGUUGGUGAAGAAAUUAAAUAAGAGAUUAGUUAUGAUUAGUACUGAGAUGAGAUAGAUAGCAAUUUAUUACACGUAAUACCUCAUGGCUCAAUAGUAAAUUCCGGAGGAAUAACUAGAAAACAGGCAUGAAAAAUUAAAUUUCUCAACGUUGUUCAGAUGGACGAGCAGAAAUUUGUGGUUACGUUAACCACAGAACUUAUCAACUAGUGCAAAAUAAACUAUAAACUUAUGUCAAGUCAAUAUGGACCUUUGGUUUUAUUUUGUCUUUUUUUCCCUUUAAAUAAAAUCUCACGGUAGAAAAAGAAGAGAGAGAGAGAGAGGGAGAGAUCUAUUAAAAGCCUGAUGUUCUGCAUCUUCUUCCCUCCGUCUCAAACUCACGUGGUGGGGUUUACUACCGUCGAUGAUUGUGUUGUUGUGGUAGGAUGGAAGGCUAUGGGUGAAGCCCCCUGUGAUGACAAUACUCUUUGGGGAAUCAUGAAAGUGUUCUUGCCUUCUUUAAACAAACUUUAGGCUAAAAACCUAGAUCCAAUAUGGAUCUGUCAAUAAUGGCAUCUUGGAUGUAAUUUUUUCUUCUUGGAGGAAUUGCUUUGAAGGUUUCUAGACUAGCAAUGGUUUAUCAAUGACAAGUGCUUUUGGUACAACAUUGUUGGUGGUGGUGUUUCUACCGGAUUAGCUUUGAUGGUUAUUGCGGUGGUAGAAUCUACACAAAUAGCUGAUCUACAACUCAGUUACUCUUCGAUAUUUAUCAUCCAUUUUAGUUUCACCGUUAGUCGUUGGUGGUGAUAUAAGCAUCAAUCAACACAAUGGUUAGUCAUUAUUUUCACGGAUCGGAUUUGUUGGUCCGAGGAAUAUAGCGGCUACAUUUAGCUUAUAAGUCGUUGUGGAAA